UACGUAGGGUGCAAGCGUUGUCCGGAAUUAUUGGGCGUAAAGAGCUUGUAGGCGGUUUGUCGCGUCUGCUGUGAAAUUUCGGGGCUCAACCCCGAACUUGCAGUGGGUACGGGCAGACUAGAGUGUGGUAGGGGAGACUGGAAUUCCUGGUGUAGCGGUGAAAUGCGCAGAUAUCAGGAGGAACACCGGUGGCGAAGGCGGAUCUCUGGGCCGUAACUGACGCUGAGGAGCGAAAGCGUGGGGAGCGAACAGG
This 253-nucleotide ribosomal RNA is filed under the name uncultured bacterium. RNAcentral describes it as "partial 16S ribosomal RNA". It matches the Rfam family "Bacterial small subunit ribosomal RNA", at positions 524 to 776 of the family's 1533-position model. The record is from RNAcentral.